This 180-nucleotide non-coding RNA is filed under the name Pseudomonas fulva. Its description in RNAcentral is "6S RNA". It matches the Rfam family "6S / SsrS RNA". From Rfam's summary of the family: E. coli 6S RNA was the first non coding RNA to be sequenced, but its function was unknown until recently. RNAcentral also lists the same sequence under 23 other names. Lineage: Bacteria; Pseudomonadati; Pseudomonadota; Gammaproteobacteria; Pseudomonadales; Pseudomonadaceae. The record is from RNAcentral.
AGCUCCCUGGAGUGUGCGCCAGUUGGUUGAUGUCCCUGAGCCGAUACGCACAACCCCGGGGGUUGUCAGUUGAGGCCGGUGUGCAUGUCCGCUUGACGGAAAGCCUUAAGGUUUCCUGCAACCUCCACCUUGAACUUUCGGGUUCAAGGGCUAAACCGACAGCGGCAUGCUGGGGAGUCA